RNAcentral lists this ribosomal RNA (492 nucleotides) under uncultured bacterium. Its description in RNAcentral is "partial 16S ribosomal RNA". It matches the Rfam family "Bacterial small subunit ribosomal RNA", at positions 29 to 507 of the family's 1533-position model. The record is from RNAcentral.
AGUGAACGCUGGCGGUAGGCCUAACACAUGCAAGUCGAACGGCAGCACAGUAAGAGCUUGCUCUUACGGGUGGCGAGUGGCGGACGGGUGAGGAAUACAUCGGAAUCUACUUUUUCGUGGGGGAUAACGUAGGGAAACUUACGCUAAUACCUCAUACGACCUACGGGUGAAAGCAGGGGAUCUUCGGACCUUGCGCGAUUGAAUGAGCCGAUGUCGGAUUAGCUAGUUGGCGGGGUAAAGGCCCACCAAGGCGACGAUCCGUAGCUGGUCUGAGAGGAUGAGCAGCCACACUGGAACUGAGACACGGUCCAGACUCCUACGGGAGGCCGCAGUGGGGAAUAUUGGACAAUGGGCGCAAGCCUGAUCCAGCCAUACCGCGUGGGUGAAGAAGGCCUUCGGGUUGUAAAGCCCUUUUGUUGGGAAAGAAAAGCAGCAGGUUAAUACCCCGCUGUUCUGACGGUACCCAAAGAAUAAGCACCGGCUAACUUCGUG